This 93-nucleotide non-coding RNA is filed under the name Rhodococcus sp. (in: high G+C Gram-positive bacteria). RNAcentral describes it as "Rhodococcus sp. TPP sequence". It matches the Rfam family "TPP riboswitch aptamer (THI element)". Rfam says of the family: Vitamin B(1) in its active form thiamin pyrophosphate (TPP) is an essential coenzyme that is synthesised by coupling of pyrimidine and thiazole moieties in bacteria. The previously detected thiamin-regulatory element, thi box was extended, resulting in a new, highly conserved RNA secondary structure, the THI element, which is widely distributed in eubacteria and also occurs in some archaea. Analysis of operon structures identified a large number of new candidate thiamin-regulated genes, mostly transporters, in various prokaryotic organisms. Lineage: Bacteria; Bacillati; Actinomycetota; Actinomycetes; Mycobacteriales; Nocardiaceae. RNAcentral also lists the same sequence under 1 other name. The record is from RNAcentral.
GGACUCGACACGGGGUGCCGGGCGGCCGGCUGAGAACACACCCGUCGAACCUGACCGGGUCAUGCCGGCGGAGGGAUGUCGAGAUGGCGACAG